Molecule: ribosomal RNA, 253 nt
Filed under: uncultured bacterium
Lineage: Bacteria
Description: partial 16S ribosomal RNA
Rfam family: Bacterial small subunit ribosomal RNA
Source: RNAcentral
UACGUAGGGGGCAAGCGUUGUCCGGAUUUAUUGGGCGUAAAGAGCUCGUAGGCGGUUCCGUAAGUCGAGUGUGAAAAAUCUGGGCUCAACCCAGUGGAGCACUCGAUACUGCGGUGACUAGAGUACGGUAGAGGAGUGUGGAAUUCCUGGUGUAGCGGUGAAAUGCGCAGAUAUCAGGAGGAACACCAACGGCGAAGGCAGCACUCUGGGCCGGUACUGACGCUGAGGAGCGAAAGCAUGGGGAGCGAACAGG